AGAGUUUGAUCCUGGCUCAGGAUGAACGCUGGCGGCGUGCUUAACACAUGCAAGUCGAGCGAAGCAUAUAAGCGGAAGUUUUCGGAUGGAAGCAGAUAUGACUGAGCGGCGGACGGGUGAGUAACGCGUGGGUAACCUGCCUCAUACAGGGGGAUAACAGUUAGAAAUGACUGCUAAUACCGCAUAAGCGCACAGGACCGCAUGGUCAAGUGUGAAAAACUCCGGUGGUAUGAGAUGGACCCGCGUCUGAUUAGCUGGUUGGUGAGGUAACGGCCCACCAAGGCGACGAUCAGUAGCCGACCUGAGAGGGUGGCCGGCCACAUUGGGACUGAGACACGGCCCAAACUCCUACGGGAGGCAGCAGUGGGGAAUAUUGCACAAUGGGGGAAACCCUGAUGCAGCAACGCCGCGUGAGUGAAGAAGUAUUUCGGUAUGUAAAGCUCUAUCAGCAGGGAAGAAGAAAGACGGUACCUGACUAAGAAGCCCCGGCUAACUACGUGCCAGCAGCCGCGGU
This 514-nucleotide ribosomal RNA is filed under the name uncultured Gram-positive bacterium. RNAcentral describes it as "bacterial SSU rRNA". It matches the Rfam family "Bacterial small subunit ribosomal RNA", at positions 8 to 521 of the family's 1533-position model. The record is from RNAcentral.